This 1780-nucleotide long non-coding RNA is filed under the name Haliotis rubra (blacklip abalone). RNAcentral describes it as "uncharacterized LOC124271780". The record is from RNAcentral. Lineage: Eukaryota; Metazoa; Mollusca; Gastropoda; Lepetellida; Haliotidae.
UCUGGAAUAGGACGAGUACUGUUUUAGCAGGUUCCAUUAUACAUUAAUGUGAAACCACGUCAAUGAGAUUCGUCGAAACAUUAAUAUCGACCUUUGAGCUGAACCUUCCCAGGAAACUGGCUAUUCGCUUUACAAACCGACACACAAUAUGCAGCACUUUAUCAGAACAAGCGUUAGAGAUCCGGGACAGGAAGGUCAUGGUGACCCAUAUGUAACGCCGUAUUACGAGGCGAGAGCGUCCUACAAGGAAGCCAGGUGAUCUCCACGGAGAGCGCUCAAGAGAAGUGAUUACCAUGGUCUGUGGUGGUGAAUCGAAGGUAGAAGACGUCUCCCCAAUUUUCGACGUACAAAAGAAGAUACAGGACUGGGCAUGGGAUCAAUUCGUCAACAAAUCAUCUUUCUUGAGAAAGGUCUUCCUCAGAAGGAAAGAUUUCGAUGUAGAUGUCCCCAUGAACUUUUACCAAUUUGAAGACUUGCCUGCUAGGCUUAUGGACAAGAAAUCUGAGUCCGAAUCAAAGACCCAUUCUGAGUCCGAUUCCAGGCCCAAACCGAAGCAGCUCAAGCAUGGCGACCAGAUUCCCAACACAUCUCUCCUAUCCACUGACUAUCAAAACGACACCAAUAGGGACCAGGUCUACAAGUUCAGGAUGGAACGGGCGAGAACAGCUUCAGUAAACGUCACCUUCCAGACCGGAUUUUCUAUCGGGGGGGUCCGCAAACUUUUCCAUUGGAGUUGCAGAAGCUGGUCUGGAAACACGGCUGGAGAUCUCCAAAACUACCGGUCAAACGUUCGAAGAAACGUUGACGUUUGAAACGACAAGUGAUAUCAACGUUGAAGCCAACAGCUACUGCACUGCACAGGUCGUGUUCACGGAGAAGGAAAUUUGUAAGAAGUUCAAGGUUGAGACGCUGAUGAGGAUGCCGUCGGGAUCUGCCCCCGGUGUUCAUCAGACGAAAGAAGGAUCAGGGGUUGGUUUCGUCCUUUUCCAUUGGUGACCUUCAGCCCAUUUUUGACAAGCAAAUAAGAAAGAAGCAAAUAGACGUUGUGGACGAGACGGAGCCGGGGGGAGGAGUUCAAGAAAUAUGCAUUGAAGAUAACCACGACGGGAAUCAUCGAGGGCAUGAGACUGUCAGGACAAACAGUCAAGCUGCAUUCUGAAGCCAUUGACAAACAAAACCGACCCAAGAAAGAAAGAGACAGUCAUGUUUUAGAAGAGCACGUGUCGCGUCAUGACGCUCUUGUUAAGCUUUAGGGUAAACAUUUCUGAUGCAAUUUUCUAGAUGCAAUUCGCCCAAAUAUUCAAUAUUUACAAUAUUUGCCAAACAUGAUUUGUUUAACGUGAGUGCCUUGUUUUAACGCCGAUUUGAACAGUAAUACAGUUACGUCACGGCGUGUUAGCAUGGUCUGGGAAGAAAGCCUGAAGUGAUGACAGGAAAUGCUGACGAACCUAGAACAAAGCAGGAUUCGAACCCAGGAUAAUUGGCAUCCAGAGUACACAAGGGACGCAACCCUGUAGAGCGAAUUUGCGGUGUCUCCUCACUAUGCACUAGACUGCCUUGUGCUUUUAACCUCAAUUUAUCUUGGAUGAAUUGCGUAUUUCAAUUCUUCCACAAACACUUGCGUCAGUCGGGCAAAUGGUUUAGCUGACAUGUUAGAUGGGUCCAGGAACCAGUAAAUGACCCCUAACUUCGUGAGAAGAUUGUGAUGCAUUUAUGUGUAUUUCGGGUAACAGAGCCCAUUCCUCUACUUACAUCGUUUCACUCAUUAAAUUUUUUUUUA